Non-coding RNA from Hemiscyllium ocellatum (epaulette shark), 495 nucleotides. Lineage: Eukaryota; Metazoa; Chordata; Chondrichthyes; Orectolobiformes; Hemiscylliidae. The record is from the annotation of a RefSeq genome assembly.
UCUAUGACCGCAAACAGCAGUGUGCCAUCUCUGAGCUGCGAAUUGAUCUUAAGUGUCCUGCAGUCUGACAUUCUGUAACGGACCAUGCGGACUUGGCUGUUGUUCUUCACAUCAGAACUGCUUCUAAUGAUGAGACACGGAGAGUCUCAGAAGAUUGUGCAGGUCCAGGAGCAUAUCUCCGUGAGAAAAGCCGAAUCUGUGGUUAUCCCGUGCACCCAACGUGGGACUGAUAGUUACAUGUACUGGUACAGACAGUCCCCGGGCGAGGGUCUCCAGUAUAUCCUGCACGCUAUUGAGAAAAGUGAACCGACAAGGUCCGACGAGAUCUCAGAUCGUUUCAACGCCAAGAGGACAGCCGGCGGCUCCUUUGAUCUAAGGAUAGCGAUGGUGCAGCCCAGCGAUACGGCUCGAUAUUUCUGCGCCUCCAGUGAUGCACAGUGGAACACUCCCGCUGCACUGCGCUACAAAAACUCACCCCGUUGCACGGUCGCCUAA